This 107-nucleotide small nucleolar RNA is filed under the name Gossypium hirsutum (cotton). RNAcentral describes it as "Plant small nucleolar RNA R71". It matches the Rfam family "Plant small nucleolar RNA R71". From Rfam's summary of the family: R71 is a member of the C/D box family of snoRNAs containing the C (UGAUGA) and D (CUGA) box motifs. Multiple nearly identical copies of this snoRNA have been identified in Arabidopsis, and it is thought to function as a 2'-O-ribose methylation guide for 18S ribosomal RNA. Lineage: Eukaryota; Viridiplantae; Streptophyta; Magnoliopsida; Malvales; Malvaceae. The record is from Rfam by way of RNAcentral.
AUCCCAUGAUGAAGAUACUUAUGAAGUAAUUCCUUGAAUAUUUCCCAAGCGUCAUACAAAGACUCAUUAUCCAAUUGUUGAAAAUUUGUUAUCUCAUUACGCAAUUU